Molecule: small nuclear RNA, 198 nt
Organism: Hippoglossus stenolepis (Pacific halibut)
Lineage: Eukaryota; Metazoa; Chordata; Actinopteri; Pleuronectiformes; Pleuronectidae
Product: U2 spliceosomal RNA
Exons: 1
Source: RefSeq, a predicted model, not a curated record
UAUCCUUCUCGGCCUUUUGGCUAAGAUCAAGUGUAAGCUCCUGUUCUAUCAGUUUAAUAUCUGAUAUGUCCUCUAUAUAGGGGACUACAUAUUAAGCAGAUUUUUGGCAUGAGGGGCUGGCGAAAUUUGGAGCUUGCUCCUUUGUCUCCACGCAUCGACCUAGCAUUCUGGUGCCGCUGGGAGCCGAGUGCACUCUGU